UACGUAGGGUGCGAGCGUUGUCCGGAAUUACUGGGCGUAAAGAGCUCGUAGGUGGUUUGUCGCGUUGUUCGUGAAAACCGGGGGCUUAACCCUCGGCGUGUGGGCGAUACGGGCAGACUUGAGUACUGCAGGGGAGACUGGAAUUCCUGGUGUAGCGGUGGAAUGCGCAGAUAUCAGGAGGAACACCGGUGGCGAAGGCGGGUCUCUGGGCAGUAACUGACGCUGAGGAGCGAAAGCGUGGGGAGCGAACAGG
This 253-nucleotide ribosomal RNA is filed under the name uncultured bacterium. RNAcentral's name for it is "partial 16S ribosomal RNA". It matches the Rfam family "Bacterial small subunit ribosomal RNA", at positions 524 to 776 of the family's 1533-position model. The record is from RNAcentral.